Molecule: unclassified non-coding RNA, 460 nt
Filed under: Hevea brasiliensis (rubber tree)
Lineage: Eukaryota; Viridiplantae; Streptophyta; Magnoliopsida; Malpighiales; Euphorbiaceae
Source: RNAcentral
AGAUUGGUUUAGUAUUUUCUUAUUCGGAAUUCCUAAUCCUAAUACUUGUUGGACUAGUUGUUGUACCAUAAAUAUAUAUGUCAUAUAGGUACUUUGCUAGAGAUCUUUUUAUCAUUUUUAAGGUAAUAGAAAAUGGCAAUCAUAUUUCUUUUCCUCAUUAAGAUAUUGAUGUAGAACCAAUAACACUCAAAAAGGAAAAAUUUAAAUAAACUCUCAAAUUUGAUAAAUUCACUAUUGUCAAUAAUAAUAAACUCUCUUAAGAAAAUACCUAAUUUACAUAGGUACUUAUAGGGCUGGCAAUUUGUGUUUGUUGGUCAUAAACAAGUCAUGUCAACCUACACGUAUAACAUAUAAUAUGAAAAUGUUUAACCUAAACAUGAUCUAUUUAAUUAAUAAUUAAUCGUGUCAAAAUAUUCAACCUUAAUACGGAUAUGGUCAGUGUUAUUAAAGGCGAGAAAAG